UCCAACACUUGCGUGAAACACGAAUGCCUUCGGUGACACCGGAAGGAAAGGAAUAUCUUAGUUGUUUCUUCAUGGCUCCUAUCGGAAGCAACACUCGCCGGGCCUUGUGUUUGGUGUCUCUCCUGCUCAUGUCUGCCACCCUCUCGUCCUGUCAUGCAGGAGGUACAACAGAUGGUUCCCCGAAGUUGUGCAUAACCCAGAAAGCAUGCGCACCGAAGUGGUCCAUAGAACCCUGGGAUAACUAUGCCUGCAAGUUUUACUGCGGAGUUCGAGGUUACGAUGAGGAUAAGAGCCACUGCACACCAAACGGUAAAGGAUUUUGCUGCUGCGAAAAGUAAUGUAAGCUGUUUUUCUUUGCAAAAUAAUUAAGCCUAGUUUUCAA
Long non-coding RNA from Triticum dicoccoides, 382 nucleotides. RefSeq lists it as uncharacterized. The record is from RefSeq and is a predicted model, not a curated record. The transcript has 2 exons. NCBI's taxonomy places the organism in Eukaryota, Viridiplantae, Streptophyta, Magnoliopsida, Poales, Poaceae.